RNAcentral lists this unclassified non-coding RNA (302 nucleotides) under uncultured Chaetomium. RNAcentral's name for it is "sequence contains ITS1". The stretch from base 1 to 105 matches the Rfam family "5.8S ribosomal RNA", at positions 50 to 154 of the family's 154-position model. Lineage: Eukaryota; Fungi; Ascomycota; Sordariomycetes; Sordariales; Chaetomiaceae. The record is from RNAcentral.
GAAAUGCGAUAAGUAAUGUGAAUUGCAGAAUUAAGUGAAUCAUCGAAUCUUUGUACGCACAUUGCGCCCGCCAGUACUCUGGCGGGCAUGCCUGCUCGAGCGUCAUUUCAACCAUCAAGCCCCGCGCUUGUGCUGGGGACCUGCGGCUGCACGCAGGCUCCGAAAACCAGUGGCGGGCUCGAUGUCCCUCCGAGCGUAGUAGUUUACAUCUCGCUCAGGGCGUGCCGUGGGUUCCGGCCGUAAAAACCCCUCCUUACCCCAAGGUUGACCUCGGAUCAGGUAGGAAUACCCGCUGAACUUAA